GGACUAAUAAGUGUCACUUAAUGAAGAACUCAAAUAACCAACCAAAAUCUCUGAGGAACGUUUCCAACUCCUUGUUGAAAGCAAUUAAAGCAUCAUUAACAUUAAAGCAGUUCUGAAGACAAAAGGGUGUCCAACCUUUUACCAGCAAGGUGUACCUAAUAAAUUGCAUUGCCAUAUCUAUUGUCAGAGGAGAAGAAGAAUCUUUGAUACAAAAUAUUUUUAGUCAUUUCUUAAAAAGAUUUUAGAAUUUAUUUAAACCUCAGUCUACUACUUAAGACAACUUUACUAUCUAGAUUUUGCAGUGGCCCUAGUAAAUGUAUUUCAGAGAGAAACAAGCUGGGUGACGGCUAACAUGUGCUUCUAUCAAGACACAUGAAGUCCAACCACAUUUUUCGAACCGCUGCUAACACAACAUCAUUGGACAGCUGAGUAUGCUUGGAGGAGAACGCUAACUACCAAUUCUGUAACGUCUGCUGGAGUGAGCAUUCCCUUUAUGGCAACAAGGGGAACUAAACCAUGCAAAAUCCUCCCCACAGCAAAAACAGAGCCAUCAGACCCCCACUUCAUUGCAGGGGUCAAGCAGAGCGUAUGCCACAUACGCACUUGCCCACUUGUAAAGAAUAUGAUGCAAGAUAACUCAUCUGACCAUAUCACUUUUUCCAUCUCUGUAAACGUCACUUAAGUCACUGUUCCAGCUGAACAACUAACCAGUUGAGCAGUCUUCAUGACUGAAACUGCUGCCAUUCCUGCACCAAUAAUGGUUCCUCGUUUACAGCAACUUAAAUCUUUUCUUUUUGCCAUCUGGACUUUAACUGGGUCUGUUCAACAAUUUUAUACAUUUUAGCUGAAACCUGAAACAUUCACAUAAAUCACCAAGACAGUCAAAUAUGAUCAUGUUGCAGUGUCAGCUCAGAAGCAGAUGCAGAAAACAAAAGCUUGUAAAGGCGAAUGCCCUUUUAUUACCCUGACAUGAAACAUAAAGGGCAGUGACACGAGAGGACAAGAUAUCCAACACCUUGUAUCUCAGCCUCCGUGGUCACAAUUGCACUAAUAACACGGUCAACAACUGUCACAACAAACUGACCUUUAUAACCGGCAGUAUUGCAUGACAAUGAAAUGUUGGAGUAAGUUUUGCCCAAGAGAUUUACCUGCAAGACAUGGAAUCCACCUAGACACUAUUGAACAAAUAGCCUGUUGCUCCCUGGCUGCUACUCUUACUGCUAUACACUUACAUUUAUGACACUUGGCAGAUGCUCUUUUCCAGAACGACUUACAGUUUGAUUAUUUUAUGCAGGGAGGCCAAAGUAGUGUUAGGAGUCUUGCCCAAGGACUCUUAUUGGUAAAAUGUAGGGUACUUCUGUUUGUGAAUCCUGUUUGGGACAGUAGCCAUGGCAGCUUGUUGCUUUGCAAUCUGUGUGUGUCUGUCUGUAAGUCUCCAAGAAAGAAAAUUACUUACUUUUUUGAAAACUAUAUCACUGAGUGAAUACUCCUGUUGUAGUUUGAAACUAAGCCAAAGAAAAGGAUAUAUCAGGACCCAGGAUGCAUUAAAAUUGUUCUUUUUCAGUCAUGAAUUUUCUGGUCAUGGGGACAUUUUAAUGUGUACAAUCAGUGUACUAUGGCUUUAAGUAUUUUCCCCUGUUGUCAUGUGACCUAGGUGUAGUUUUGUUUCUUAGUUUGGUCAAAUUAAUUAACUUCCAAUCACCAUAUACCAGUGCAUUCUGUGCAUUCAUAGAAUUAUUUAUGUGGUCAUUGACAUAAGCUUUCAUUAGGUCUUUAAUGUAGUUUUUAAUUAUGUAAGUCAUAGAUUUCAUGAAAAAGCUUACCAAGAAUAUUCAAAUUAAGUGUUUCAUUAGUUAUAGUUUUAAUUUUCAAUUAUGUUGGCUUGACAUUCAGUAAUACUGAAACGAUGUAUGUUUAUGUAUUUAUUUUAAUAUAGCACAUUUUAUCGUUUUAUCCAAACAUUAACAGAUUUUUUUUUUAUUAUUUGCAAUUAUCUGUGCAUGUCAGGCAUCCCAAAUGUGGUUGUUAUGACGAUGGUUGAUGCUGAUGUCUGUCCUCUGGUCAAUAAAGAUCUCACACAGAUCUACAGAAGCAGGAAAAUCAAAGAAAAGAUGCAGGAAUGCAGCAACAGACUCGGCCCAACCAUGAAAAAUAUCUUCCCAGUGAGCAACUAUCAUGAAGAGAGUGAAACAAAUGACACCAAAGAUGUGCUUAUCCUAACAGCAUUAUUGCAGAUCGUAAACCGUGCAAAAAAUUAUGUUUAUGAGCAGCAUAACAUCUGUGAAUAAUUUGCUUUUGACUCGACUUUGACUCAAACACCAGUGACUCAGACUUUGACUCAGACUUGAGACAGAUGACUCAGAAAGACUUGAGACCUAAAGUGAAAAUGAAGUGAAAGGCAUCUGACUGAAGAUGGGAUUCUACACACUUGCCAUGUGAAUGGAUUGAAUGCUGCUGUAAUGCUGCUGUGAAUGCUGCUGUAAAUUUGAUAAUCCAUCAAAUUCGUUCAUUCGUUCAUUCAUUCAUUCAUUCAGUCAUUCAUCUUCUAACCCGCUUAUCCUCCUGGGUUGCGGGGUGCUGGAGCCAAUCCCAGCGGACAUCAUGGCAGGAAACACCUGGACAGGCCCUCAGUCCGUCACAAAGUUGAAUUUAAUGAUACAUUGAAAAAAUCUUUUAAUGUGUAGUUCACUAAUUUUUGAGUAUACCUUCACUAUACCUGUCCAGUAUACACCCUGGACAGGUCGCCAGUCCAUCACAGGGUGAAAACAAAAUAAUAAGAAAUUAAUAUUCAGCCAUACUGAAUAACUUGCUGUGCUAUUACUCCUACUCAUUUUUGGUGCCCAGUGUUGAAACAGCCUUAAAUAACUUGGGACUUGACUUGAGACUUGCCUGUAUAGACUUGGGACUUGACUUGAGACUUGCUUCUAUAGACUUGGUACUUGACUUGAGACUUGCCUGUAUAGACUUGGGACUCGACUUGAGACUUGCCUAUAUAGACUUGGAACUUGACUUGAGACUUGCUUGUACUUGGUACUUGGCUUGAGACUUGCCUGUAUAGACUUGGAACUUGACUUGAGACUUGCCUGUAUAGACUUGGGACUUGACUUGAGACUUGCCUGUAUAGACUUGGGACUUGACUUGAGACUUGCUUGUACUUGGCACUUAGCUUGAGACCUGCCUAUAUAGACUUGGUACUUGACUUGAGAUUUGCCUAUAUAGACUUGGGACUUGACUUGAGACUUGCCUGUAUAGAUUUGGAACUUGACUUGAGACUUGCCUAUAUAGAGUUGGGACUUGACUUGAGACUUGCUUGUAUAGACUUGGUACUUGACUUGAGACUUGCCUGUAUAGACUUGGAACUCGUCUUGAGACUUGCUUCUAUAGACAUGGGACUUGACUUGAGACUUGCCUAUAUAGAGUUGGGACUUGACUUGAGACUUGCUUGUAUAGACUUGGUACUUGACUUGAGACUUGCCUGUGUAGACUUGGAACUCGACUUGAGACUUGCCUAUAUAGACUUGGGACUUGACUUGAGACUUGCCUGUAUAGACUUGGGACUUGACUUGAGACUUGCCUGUAUAGACUUGGGACUUGACUUGAGACUUGCUUGUACUUGGCACUUAGCUUGAGACCUGCCUAUAUAGACUUGGUACUUGACUUGAGAUUUGCCUAUAUAGACUUGGGACUUGACUUGAGACUUGCCUGUAUAGAUUUGGAACUUGACUUGAGACUUGCCUAUAUAGAGUUGGGACUUGACUUGAGACUUGCUUGUAUAGACUUGGUACUUGACUUGAGACUUGCCUGUAUAGACUUGGAACUCGUCUUGAGACUUGCCUGUAUAGACAUGGGAUUUGACUUGAGACUUGCUUGUAUAGACUUGGUACUUGACUUGAGACUUGCCUGUGUAGACUUGGAACUUGACUUGAGACUUGCCUAUAUAGACUUGAGACUUGCUUGUACUUGGUACUUGGCUUGAGACUUGCCUGUAUAGACUUGGAACUCGACUUGAGACUUACCUGUAUAGACUUGGAACUCGACUUGAGACUUGCUUGUACUUGGUACUUGGCUUGAGACUUGCCUGUAUAGACUUGGAACUCGACUUGAGACUUGCUUGUACUUGGUACUUGGCUUGAGACUUGCCUAUAUAGACUUGGUACUUGACUUGAGAUUUGCCCAUAUAGACUUGGGACUUGACUUGAGACUUGCCUGUAUAGACUUGGAACUCGACUUGAGACUUGCCUGUAUAGACUUGGAACUCGACUUGAGACUUGCCUGUAUAGACUUGCUACUUGACUUAAAACUUGCUUGUACUUGGUACUUGGCUUGAGAUUUACCUAUAUAGACUUGGUACUUGACUUGAGAUUUGCCUAUAUAGACUUGGAACUUUUGACUUGCCAGUGUCGACUUGGAACUCAAAUUGAGAUUCGCUUGUACUGACUUUUUACUUGAAUCAAUUCUCGACUGUCUUGACUUGGAACUUGACUUGGAAUUCAAGUGUCAAGUCUUGAGACUUACUUCUUGUUUAUGUCAUGACUUAAAAUUGGCAUUAAGAUCAUAAUCUGAUGAUAAUAUCAUAAGGAUGAUCAGUAUCUAAUUUGCAAUAUGUAGUGUUCCCUUUUUCUUUUAUGGCAUGUAAACAAAAUCUCAUCGAUGUUGUGUCAGUGAUUUUUCUUUAUUUAUUUCAGCAUAAGAACAGUGGCUUAUACUGUUCAAAUUUGGCAUUUGAAAUAUUUCCUUAUUGCUCCUUUUAGAUUUGGACAUUUAGCUCAGUGUGAGAUCAACAACCAUUUGUGUGAAACUGCUUAUGUCUUUGCUUUUUUUCUGUAGUUCUAUACCACACCUUGUUUGAAUUCAUGAUUUCCGAAAGCAUGAAUUCAAAAAGCAUGAAUAAUUAAAUCACCCAUAAUUAUCCAUCCAUCCAUCCAUCCAUCCAUUUUCUAAGCCGCUUCUCCGUCUAUCAUUUUGUAAAAUAAAAUCUCCUGUUUACCUUGUGUUAAGUAAAAUACUUGGUGAUAAUGUC
Pygocentrus nattereri (red-bellied piranha) is the source of this 5020-nucleotide long non-coding RNA. RefSeq lists it as uncharacterized. NCBI's taxonomy places the organism in Eukaryota, Metazoa, Chordata, Actinopteri, Characiformes, Serrasalmidae. The record is from RefSeq and is a predicted model, not a curated record. The transcript is spliced from 2 exons.